AGAACGAACGCUGGCGGCAGGCCUAACACAUGCAAGUCGAACGCCCGUAGCAAUACGGGAGUGGCAGACGGGUGAGUAACGCGUGGGAACGUACCUUUCGGUUCGGAAUAACCCGGGGAAACUCGGGCUAAUACCGGAUACGUCCGCAAGGAGAAAGAUUUAUCGCCGAAAGAUCGGCCCGCGUCGGACUAGCUAGUUGGUGAGGUAACGGCCCACCAAGGCGACGAUCCGUAGCUGGUCUGAGAGGAUGAUCAGCACACUGGACUGAGACACGGCCCAGACUCCUACGGGAGGCAGCAGUGGGGAAUAUUGGACAAUGGGCGAAAAGCCUGAUCCAGCCAAUGCCGCGUGAGUGAAGAAAGGCCUUAGGGUUGUAAAAGCUCUUUCAGCGGGGAAGAUAAAUGACGGUACCCGCAGAAAGAAAGUCCCGGCUAAACUUCGUGCCAAGCAAGCCGC
RNAcentral lists this ribosomal RNA (456 nucleotides) under uncultured soil bacterium. Its description in RNAcentral is "bacterial SSU rRNA". It matches the Rfam family "Bacterial small subunit ribosomal RNA", at positions 26 to 518 of the family's 1533-position model. The record is from RNAcentral.